AACAUCUUUCAAGUCUGUUGUUUGAAUACAAAAGAGAUUGACACAGCCAACAUUGUUCUGAGGUGCUUCUCUCUGUACAAGACCAGUUUGGUGUGGUGCCAACAAGCACAAUCUCUCUGUCGGUAUGACAGGCCUUAAGUGGAGAUCAGUGAAGCGGCACGGGGGAAAUAAACAGGCCCAGCUCAGCAGGCCUAAUUAAACAGAGGGCCUCAGCACCGCAACAAAACUCUACUGCAGUCCCAACCUGUCUCUCUUACCUUGCUUCCUGCUCGCCUUCCUGCUCGCCUCCCGGUCUGCCUGCUUGACUGGCUGCCUGUUUCAUCACCUCCCUGCCUGCCUCCGUAUCUGACUGUAUCUC
This is a long non-coding RNA of Esox lucius (northern pike), 358 nucleotides long. RefSeq lists it as uncharacterized. Lineage: Eukaryota; Metazoa; Chordata; Actinopteri; Esociformes; Esocidae. The transcript is spliced from 3 exons. The record is from RefSeq and is a predicted model, not a curated record.